GUGGAUCCGGUUUUGUCAGCGUGCCUUUCUCUGCUGGCUUUUCCUGUGUCCCUUUAUUACCGAGCGGUGGAGAUGGUUCCCUCAAUGGGGGAAAUAAAUCCCUGCUGGAGAACAGGAAGGUCUCGCAGGGCGAGAGCAGGCAGGAGUCCAUGAGUGCAGCAUCUCUUUCCCUCUCCCAGGCGUCUUCUUCCUUGGUGCCGGAUUGCUUUAUCACACGCUACAUCUUGCUCUUGUAUGAUUCCUUCUGAAUCCUAAGGAGCUCUAAUAGCUGUGUUUGGAAAGCGCCUGACCUGACCCCUGUUACCCAGCCAUUUGCUUGAUUAACCAGAUGCUAAAACACCCUUCCUAAGGUGAGCAUGAAGGCCACUACUUCCUACUAAUCCAGUCAUCUUCUGAGGACAUAGCUCAGUCCUGAGGCCCGUGAGAAAUGAACCUAUUUAUUCUGGCUCAGGAGAGGAAUUGGAUGGAUCUAUAUUAUACAUCUGAAAUAAAAGCAAACCAUCAGAAAUUCAGGAGCUAACAGCCUGGGGAGCCAGCCCGCCACCUCCCGAAGCACGAUCAGGUGGUGUAUAGCCAUCCUUCUCCCCACAUUUGUUGACUUGUCCUUGGGGAUGAAGGGACCUGUCUGUCCAUGCUGUGACCCUGGCCUGGGCGGACCAACGAACUCUGUUGGGUCUCUCUGAAAGUCCCAGCUAGCUUUUUGCCUUCAUUUCUUGGAUUUUUUAGAUUGAGAAUAAUAUGACCCCAUCACCAAGGAAGCAGUUGCAUGGCUUAAGUCACUCAUAUUUGGGCAGGGCGCUUUGACUGCAUUGCAUUGCAGGUGCCACAGAAGGGCAAUGUGUCAUAGUGAUAUUUUUGUCUUUCUAGUGACCUGUCUCAUAAGCCACCGAGUGCCUCAACUCCACAUACAGAUGCCCAGUAACUACCUGUCCAACUUGCCCAAUGUAGCCAGGCUCCAGUACUGCCGUGCUGCCGCCAAGCCUGAGCCUGUCUUUCAGAGGUUGGCCAUCGAUUGCAAUUGCAAAGGAAGAUCUUGUUUUCCGAAGGGCAGAAUUGAACAUCUCGCCUCUGUGCCGUGCAUUAUCUCUCCGGGCAUGCAAAACAUGACUGUAUUUCCCACUGUUUUAUUUACUGGCUUUUUUUUUUCCAUUUACUGAGAAAAAACCUUAUUUGGUACUUUUUUUGUGUGUGUGCAUGGUGUGUGUGUGUGUGUGUAUAUGUUUAGGAGGUUAAAAAAAAUUUCUUGCUGUCAGCAAGUGAUGUUACAAACCUGCUCUGACAAGGCUGGUUGUAUAUUUACAGUUGGUGAGAGCGAAGGCUUCAUCAAUCUUCACGCUUUGAAAGGGACAGGCCCGCUCCCAUGAGCACCUGCUCCGGGAGAACAGCUGAACUGUGACUUUCCAGGGAGCUGGCUGUAAAUUUUAGCCAUUCCCCCCGCAGCCCACGCAUGCUUGAGCUUUUUAACCUUCCCAGGCUGGCAGGAGUCCCAGCAAUCAGCUUAGUGCAAAGACUGGGGUUCUUUUUAAUUAACCUUUUGUUUCCCACUGCAGGUGUUUCAAAGUUUCUUGAUGUUAAAAAGGGAAGAAAAAAAAAAUUGGCUGCAAAGGUGCGGCCCCAUGCUUCCCCCCACCUUCUCCCCGCUCCGUGAUCAAAUGGGACAGGUCUUCCUCUCAUUUCCCCUCCACGCUUACGGUUCCCUGGCACACACGUCUAUAACAACAUCCACUGGGAAGUACUUCUGACAUGUGGUUUCCUUCAGGCAUCCGUAGAAGGGCUGUUCCACGGCCCGAUAUCGCAAGGUCAUUCUUACUUCCUGGGUCAUUUUGCAUCGCCAUCCCACCGCGCUUUUCCCAUGCCGCUUUUUAAAAAACUUUUUCUGUGACUUGACUCCCUUUCGGACUAAUUAGCCCUAGUCCGUCUGAGUCUGGGCAGCCAGGCAAAGGAAGUCCGGCUGUAAGAAAGCAAGCCUGGCUGCAGGCUCUCCGGGUGCCGACACGAUGCCCUCCUUGCCUGCUACUGGUGCCAUUACUCAACUGGAGAACAAAGAACGCUUCCUGAUCGCUCUGUGUGCUCAGACAUUAAUUUUGUUAAUCACACAGGCCAGCGAUUUAGCUGACACAAUUUAGGACGUGAGAUAUCCUGAAGGAAAGCAGGGGGGCGCGAUCUGGAGAGGACUCGAGACUUUCCAGGAUUCUCUCUCUAAGAGGAUUUGCUUUGCUGUCACUUGGUUGUGUCUUUAGUGAGGAAAGCUAUCCUUUGUUAUCAAGAAGAAUGAAACAGGAUCCCAGGUCCAGGCUAUGAAAGAAGCCUUUGCAAACCAGGCUCAGCGAGGAUGUUAUCUAUCUCCACAGAACUUCAUUGAAGCUUUCAGAUAGUAUAUAUGGCCUGUUUAUGAGCCCCCCAAAUUACUCAUUAGGCUUUUGCAGAGGAAUCCACUGUAGAAUUGCAUCCUGUCAUUAAGAAACUUCAGAAAAUGACACGACUGAGCCAGAUGGAAGAUCUGGUUGCUCCAAGCAUGGGGGACAACGGGAAUGCUGACAGUGUAAGAUACCUUUCCAGGAGAAUUAAGUUCCCUAACCUUGGUGAGAGCCGUUCUUCACUCUGCUGGUGACAUGCAGUAUAUGGUACCAUCACAGCACUUUAAAGCGCUUUACUUUUUCUAAGUAAUUCAUCCUCGGGACAUCCCAGGUAGACAAAUACUAUCACUUUCAUUGUAUAGGUGGGAAAACUGGGGCCAUGUCAAGUGAAGUGCUUUACCAAGGAUACAGAACAAAUCGAUAUCAGAGCUGGGAGCAAAGUUGUGAGUGCCCACCACCGAGGCUUGAUUUCAGGCCACCCAGCUGAGGUUCCCUAUCUGUGCAAUGUUAAUUCGUCUUCUCUGGGUGUCCCUGGCUGUCCAGCUCAGUCGGUCUUUGUCCUCUCCAUCUCCCACCACCUUGUUCUUCAGUAAGUCCUCACUCAUAUUCUCUCAGUGGAUAUGGAAACUAUCUGAGAUAGCAGUAAUGGGCCUCUUCUCUCUGGACCUCAUUUCACUGGCAUUCAUCCCCUGCUUCUCUGUAUGAUGAUCACUAACUAGUCCAUUGUGUUGAAUCCCAAAAGACAGACACCUGCUCAUCUUUGGAUACGUCGGGGCGAUCCACCCUGGUCUCUGCCAACUUGGAAGAGACGGUCAUAAGCUUGUUUCCAGCUGUGAGUGUAUUGAAUGGCAGGAAGCAGAGCAGCCAAACAAAUGAGCAUUUUUUUUUUUAAAUAGGACCUUGUGGUGAUCUGUUAUCACCCUUAUAGUAGAGGCUAGGAGCCCCUUUCAUAGACUAUGGUGCUAGGUAUUGUACAAAUGCAGAGUAAGACACAGCCUUGACUGGCCUGAUGUAAGGCUUGGAUUUCUAUCGCGGGCGGCUCAGGAGCACGGAGAAGGGUCAGCACUGUAAUCCGAGUUACCCUGGGCUGAGGACAUAGUAAGUCUAUCGACAAUAGUGGUGUUGUUCCAAAUUGACACAUCGCAGACGAGAUGAGCGUGGCCCAAAAUGGCAAUGUGCGUCUCCCCAGCACAUUUCUUUAGCAAAUUGCAUUUUUUGUUUCACUGCUGUUUUUAAGCUGAGUUUUUGCAGCUACAUCUCGCAGCCCUGCAGGGCCCCGGUGAGGUUUCUGCGCUGAGAUGAUGCCUCACUUUGCAUACUUGUCUCAGAGGGGAAAGUGACUAUGAUGGCAUUUCAGCAUAUAUUUCAUAUUGUUCUGUGCGAAUAACAGGAUCUGAUGAUUGAAAUCUAAUACCUGGGAACCAAAAUGAAUUGUUUGCCUUCUCAUGAAAUGCUGCGCCUCUGCGCUUCCUUCUCAUUUGCACACACACACACAAGUGCAUGCAUGCACACACACUCUCACCGGGGCUUCAUAAUACAGCAAAUUGCUUAUACACAUGUAAGCAAAUAUCUUCUCAAAUUAUCUCUUAUCACCAAAUGGGGUGUGAUGCUUGUUGUUCAAGGGGCUGAGGUUGCCUUUCAAUCUGCCGGGGCCGGCCUGACACCAAAAAUAAACAGCAUAAGCCUGGAACGGUUGUCGCAAGGGGCAGAAAGAACUUGUCAGGCGGGAGUGUGUGAGCCGGCAAGAUGAUAAUGUGGCAUGACACUUCUGAAAUGAGACACCGGUUGCCAUGGUGAGGAGUCAGGAGGGACUAUCUCUCCAGAGGCUGAAAUAAAACAUGCUUUAAAUGAUGUUUGAUUAGAAUUUAGAUCAUGUAACUGAGUGGCUGGACCCGGUUUUUCCUUUUACCCAUUGUCGUCGUCGGCUUCGGCUGCUGGCGGAGUUCACUCUCAGAAGAAAGGGUUCUGGAUUCGGCGCGACCCCCCCUACCUUGCACGCCCAACGUGCGGAGAGGUUACUUAGUCCCAUGCCCCAGUCAGUUAUGCUCCUUGCUAACUCUGCUUGCAUUUUCCACUUGAGCCCAUCUUAGUUUAAGCCAGUUAAAAAAUGAUUCCCUCUGUUCUGCAAAGCGCUUAAUCAAUAGCACCCUGAGAAUAUUCCCCUCCUUACUUGGCUUUUUCCCGGAGUGGUCUAACUCAGGGUAUCAGUCGCCUUGUUAAUCUAUAUUAAGGAUACAGCCCGUGAAAGGUUAGGCACAAUAGUCCUCUUGUGCUCUUCGUAUUAAAGCGAGAGGGUGCGUGCAUGUGAAAGGGAUCAUCUCAAAUCGUGAAAAGAACUUGGAAAAGCAUAAUUGAGAGGCCAAUGCAAAACCAAGCGCAGCUUGUCGCUGCUGCCUCACAAAUGGGACGGGAGAGUUCAAAAUGAAUUUUUACGUGUUGCAAUGUCACCUGCAAAACGCACUAAAUGAAUUGUCAGGUUUUUUCAAAAUAGCCCCUAGGAGAAAGAGAGAUGUGGGGGGUGGCUCAUGGGCUGGUUCUGGGAUAUAGAGCUUUACACCACUUGGUUGCUCGUAAAGAUGUCCAGGUACUUAACAAGCAUCUUGCAGAAGGUAUGCAACAAUUCCUGUUCCUGUCAUUCAUUAUUUGUAUACAAGGCAUACAAAAAACAAGAACUCUAGCUUCCAAAAUGAUACCUUUUAUUAGACCAAGUGGGAAAUCGCAAGAAAAUUCUCCUUUUCUGCCAAGGAGCCUUCAACAGUUAUGGAGCAGCUGGGAUCCUGAGAAAAGCAGUUGUUCAAAUAAAGCAACCAAAACCAGCAAAGGCAUCGAGUAGGAAAACAUUCUCGAUGGUAAGAACCGGUGGGCCAGCUCCUCGGUUGGUCUAAGUUAAGGCAGCUUCAUUGAAACGAGUGGUUGUGCAGUGGCUUACACCUGCAGGGAACCGGAACUUAAAAAUCUGCUAAUAGUCCACUCGACUUGGUCAGUGGAAGCUGUUGGUAUCUGAUGCCUUUUUUGGUAGCGGAGGUGAACUAAAUUUGAUGGUCUCGCUACCAUCAGCAGAUGUGGGUCCGUUUCGUAUAACCCAAUACCACCAAUGGCAUUAGUCAGCUGAAGGCAAAUGAAUGAUCGUGGAGA
Molecule: long non-coding RNA, 5492 nt
Organism: Alligator mississippiensis (American alligator)
Lineage: Eukaryota; Metazoa; Chordata; Crocodylia; Alligatoridae
Exons: 3
Source: RefSeq, a predicted model, not a curated record